RNAcentral lists this transfer RNA (71 nucleotides) under Acinetobacter baumannii. RNAcentral describes it as "tRNA-Asp". It matches the Rfam family "tRNA". From Rfam's summary of the family: Transfer RNA (tRNA) molecules are approximately 80 nucleotides in length. Their secondary structure includes four short double-helical elements and three loops (D, anti-codon, and T loops). Further hydrogen bonds mediate the characteristic L-shaped molecular structure. tRNAs have two regions of fundamental functional importance: the anti-codon, which is responsible for specific mRNA codon recognition, and the 3' end, to which the tRNAs corresponding amino acid is attached (by aminoacyl-tRNA synthetases). tRNAs cope with the degeneracy of the genetic code in two manners: having more than one tRNA (with a specific anti-codon) for a particular amino acid; and 'wobble' base-pairing, i.e. permitting non-standard base-pairing at the 3rd anti-codon position. Lineage: Bacteria; Pseudomonadati; Pseudomonadota; Gammaproteobacteria; Moraxellales; Moraxellaceae. The record is from RNAcentral. RNAcentral also lists the same sequence under 1 other name.
CAGCGGUAGUUCAGUUGGUUAGAAUACCGGCCUGUCACGCCGGGGGUCGCGGGUUCGAGCCCCGUCCGCUG